GAUGAACGCUGGCGGCGUGCCUAAUACAUGCAAGUCGAGCGAACAGACGAGGAGCUUGCUCCUCUGACGUUAGCGGCGGACGGGUGAGUAACACGUGGAUAACCUACCUAUAAGACUGGGAUAACUUCGGGAAACCGGAGCUAAUACCGGAUAAUAUAUUGAACCGUAUGGUUCAAUAGUGAAAGACGGUUUUGCUGUCACUUAUAGAUGGAUCCGCGCGGCAUUAGCUAGUUGGUAAGGUAACGGCUUACCAAGGCAACGAUGCGUAGCCGACCUGAGAGGGUGAUCGGCCACACUGGAACUGAGACACGGUCCAGACUCCUAAGGGAGGCAGCAGUAGGGAAUCUUCCGCAAUGGGCGAAAGCCUGACGGAGCAACGCCGCGUGAGUGAUGAAGGUCUUCGGAUCGUAAAACUCUGUUAUUAGGGAAGAACAAAUGUGUAAGUAACUAUGCACGUCUUGACGGUACCUAAUCAGAAAGCCACGGCUAACUACGUG
This 497-nucleotide ribosomal RNA is filed under the name uncultured bacterium. Its description in RNAcentral is "partial 16S ribosomal RNA". It matches the Rfam family "Bacterial small subunit ribosomal RNA", at positions 28 to 507 of the family's 1533-position model. The record is from RNAcentral.